ACUCCUACGGGAGGCAGCAGUGGGGAAUAUUGGACAAUGGGGGCAACCCUGAUCCAGCAAUGCCGCGUGAGUGAUGAAGGCCUUCGGGUUGUAAAGCUCUUUUGGCGGGGACGAUGAUGACGGUACCCGCAGAAUAAGCCCCGGCUAACUUCGUGCCAGCAGCCGCGGUAAUACGUAGGGUGCGAGCGUUAAUCGGAAUUACUGGGCGUAAAGCGUGCGCAGGCGGUUCGCUAAGACCGAUGUGAAAUCCCCGGGCUUAACCUGGGAACUGCAUUGGUGACUGGCGGGCUAGAGUAUGGCAGAGGGGGGUAGAAUUCCACGUGUAGCAGUGAAAUGCGUAGAGAUGUGGAGGAAUACCGAUGGCGAAGGCAGCCCCCUGGGCCAAUACUGACGCUCAUGCACGAAAGCGUGGGGAGCAAACAGGAUUAGAUACCCUGGUAGUCCACGCCCUAAACGAUGUCAACUAGUUGUCGGGCCUUCAUUGGCUUGGUAACGUAGCUAACGCGUGAAGUUGACCGCCUGGGGAGUACGGUCGCAAGAUUAAAACUUAAAGGAAUUGACG
This 562-nucleotide ribosomal RNA is filed under the name uncultured Burkholderia sp. RNAcentral's name for it is "bacterial SSU rRNA". It matches the Rfam family "Bacterial small subunit ribosomal RNA", at positions 335 to 915 of the family's 1533-position model. Lineage: Bacteria; Pseudomonadati; Pseudomonadota; Betaproteobacteria; Burkholderiales; Burkholderiaceae. The record is from RNAcentral.